RNAcentral lists this long non-coding RNA (606 nucleotides) under Manacus vitellinus (golden-collared manakin). RNAcentral's name for it is "lncRNA (ENSMVIG00005016858.1)". Lineage: Eukaryota; Metazoa; Chordata; Aves; Passeriformes; Pipridae. The record is from RNAcentral.
AUGGAGUUGAGCCAGAGUUACAACAGCUCUGCUUUGGACUAUUCAGAAGAUACCUUUGAGUCCUUCAGUGAGGAGGAGGAGAUCAAACCAUCUGGCUCCUGCUGUCCCACAGAGGAUUUGGAGGGCUCAGAUGUGUUGGAAAGCACAUCAUGGUUGGCAGGCCAAAGUCAUGCAGAGGAGCAAUCUGAAGGAGUGGAUUCUGCAGCUCUGGAAAGAGUUGCCAUAGGAAAAUGGAUUGAUGCCAUGGGAAGAUGGAGAGAUCUGAAAAAUAAAGAAGCUGAGGUUAAACAGGACAACUCUGUCAGGAAAACUCAUGGUGAAAUUCUUGAAUUAUUUGAUGGAGAACUGGAUGCUCUCAGGUCUUUUUGCACCAGGAAGAUAAAUGGGAUGAACCAGCAGCUGAGCCCUGAGCAGGGAAACACGGGCAAGGCAAGGAAGCUGCAGGAUGGAGUCCCAGCAGUGAAAACUGGGACAGGAGAUGGGAACUGCAUUGUUCCUGGUCAGCUGAUGAACAGAAUCCUCCUGGAAAACACCAGAGAGACUGUUAAACAGGUGAAAGCCAGGGAGAUUUUGGCUAAAGCACUGGAUAAUAAAGCCAUACCAUGA